Molecule: long non-coding RNA, 1096 nt
Filed under: Apteryx owenii (little spotted kiwi)
Lineage: Eukaryota; Metazoa; Chordata; Aves; Apterygiformes; Apterygidae
Description: lncRNA (ENSAOWG00000014867.1)
Source: RNAcentral
CGGCCGCGGCUCCCGGUUCCGGCGCUGGCUGCGUUGACGGUGGGGGAUGGGCCCGAGGGCUCAGGAACCCUCUCAAGGCGCUUAAAAAGCAGAGUGACGGCGCCGCUCAGCCAGCCGCAGGGCGGCAGGCGGCGAGGGACAGCGCGACCGUGGCGGGCGGCCCCCGGAUUUGGGCUCAGACCCAGCUCUGGCACCAGCGACUGCUCCCUGAAAUGGCGCCCGCCGCGUCUCGCUGCUCGCAGGCUCCGCGCACUCGCACGGGGUCGCCUAGCGCCCUUCGCAGGGGCUCUCGCGAGACACAGGCGAAACAAGGCCGAACGCAUCUUCGUCUUACGCGUCUCGCGAGACAUCGCACCCGGAAACCGUGGCUCAAACACUCGCGAGACUUGGGCUGCGGGCGGGCCGGCAGGCCUCCUCCUUCCCCCCGCAUCUAGGCGCUCUCGCGAGAAUGGUCGCGCCCGCCUCGGGCGCAGCGGAGAGAGCAAAGACUCUGGGAGGAGGCCCACAAGCCUGACACUUUUGUUUACUCCGCUAACACGCUGCUCACCCUUUACUGAUAUCCAGGAAGUGUGGAAGGAAGGAAGAAGCAGGAUGUGAAUCCCAAGGAGGUAAAAACACGUAUAGGAUUUGAGUAUAUACAGACUUCUUGGUGGGGAUGGGUAAUGAGGGCCCUCGGCAGUGCCUCCUGCCAUUUAGCACCUCCAUGCUACAUGCCACGCACCAGGGAAGCAGCUGCCCAAGCUGUGCGUAAGCUUCGUGUCCGGCUCUGGCACCGGCYCUCAGGGGUCUCGAGCGCUGUACGAUGUGGCUGUUGAUAUACCAGGGAUAGUGAUUAUGUAACUGCAGGGUUAUUAGCGUGGUUGCUAUGUGCUUGUGUUGGUUCACCUCUGGCGCUGGCAGGAAGGCCAGAGGGAAGCUUUAAGUAAAACAUUUCCUAACAAAAGUUUUCCUGGUUAAGGGACAGUGCUUGACCUGGAGGAGAGGCUUGGUCUCAUUUUAGUACCAUGUGUUGAAAUGCAGGAUAUUUAGGUAGCAGGUCCUUGCUUGCCUGUGAUUCUGCUAAAAGCACCAGGGGUUGUGGGAGCCCUGGGGUGCA